AGAGUUUGAUCAUGGCUCAGAAUCAACGCUGGCGGCGUGCCUAACACAUGCAAGUCGAACGCGAAAGGGGAGCAAUCCCUGAGUAGAGUGGCAAACGGGUGAGUAACACGUGGGUGACCUGCCUCAGAGUGGGGGAUAACGUCCCGAAAGGGACGCUAAUACCGCAUAACAUCCUGCCUUUGGAAAGGUGGAGAUCAAAGCCGGGGAUCGCAAGACCUGGCGCUUGGAGAGGGGCCCGCGUCUGAUUAGCUAGUUGGUAGGGUAAUGGCCUACCAAGGCAACGAUCAGUAUCCGGCCUGAGAGGGCGGACGGACACACUGGGACUGAGACACGGCCCAGACUCCUACGGGAGGCAGCAGUGGGGAAUUGUUCGCAAUGGGCGCAAGCCUGACGACGCAACGCCGCGUGGAGGAUGAAGAUCUUCGGGUCGUAAACUCCUGUCGAGCGGGACGAACACCUAUCCGGCUAACAUCCGGGAAGGCUGACGGUACCGCUAAAGGAAGCCCCGGCUAACUCCGUGCCAGCAGCCGCGGUAAUACGGGGGGGGCAAGCGUUGUUCGGAAUUACUGGGCGUAAAGGGCUCGUAGGCGGCCAACUAAGUCGGACGUGAAAUCCCCAGGCUCAACCUGGGAACUGCGUCCGAUACUGGAUGGCUUGAAUCCGGGAGAGGGAUGCAGAAUUCCAGGUGUAGCGGUGAAAU
This 700-nucleotide ribosomal RNA is filed under the name uncultured bacterium. RNAcentral's name for it is "bacterial SSU rRNA". It matches the Rfam family "Bacterial small subunit ribosomal RNA", at positions 8 to 687 of the family's 1533-position model. The record is from RNAcentral.